UAGCAUCCAUGAGGUACUACCUACAAGAAGUAUUGUUUACGGACUCUUAAGAGCUACUGAUCGAAUGCAACUGAGCCGGCCUUGCCAAUGGCCGAGAAUGACUGAGCCAGCCCUGCCAGUGGCCGCCUAAUAACUGAGCUGGCCCCGCCAGUGGCCGAUAAUAACUUCGCAGUAGCAUCUGAGAGUAUGAUCACAGCAUGCCGGAGGCACGGUUAUAUAUGUGCAUUUCAUGAAAAUUCUUGAUUGAUAUAAAACACUGAAUUGUUUACUCAACAUGAAUAUUUUAUCAUGAUGAGUUGUUAUAUAGUAUACAUGUCAGCUUCUCAAACCCUAUUAAAACAUGUUUAGUAUUUUUGCAUAAUCAAGCAUAUGCUAGUAGAUAUGCAUGAUUUACCAAGGUUAGCAUGGUUCAAGUGUAUCAUUGUAUAUGGAACAACGGACAUUUGAUGUAUAUGUUAGCCUCUCAAAUCCUGCAUAAACAUGGUUAUCAUAUUUGAUGUAAGUGACCCUGCACAAAUCUUAUUGAUUGCAAAUUACUAUUUAAGUUAUAAGUAUGAAAUGAUGAAAUAAUAUUUGAUAUGGUGUAUU
This 588-nucleotide long non-coding RNA is filed under the name Phoenix dactylifera (date palm). RNAcentral's name for it is "long non-coding RNA (PDAC_LNC021138)". The record is from RNAcentral. Lineage: Eukaryota; Viridiplantae; Streptophyta; Magnoliopsida; Arecales; Arecaceae.